UAGGGAAUCUUCGGCAAUGGGGGGAACCCUGACCGAGCAACGCCGCGUGAGUGAAGAAGGUUUUCGGAUCGUAAAGCUCUGUUGUUAAGGAAGAACGAGUGUGAGAAUGGAAAGUUCAUGCUGUGACGGUACUUAACCAGAAAGGGACGGCUAACUACGUGCCAGCAGCCGUGGUAAUACGUAGGUCCCGAGCGUUGUCCGGAUUUAUUGGGCGUAAAGCGAGCGCAGGCGGUUAGAAAAGUCUGAAGUGAAAGGCAGUGGCUCAACCAUUGUAGGCUAUGGAAACUGUUUAACUUGAGUGCAGAAGGGGAGAGUGGAAUUCCAUGUGUAGCGGUGAAAUGCGUAGAUAUAAGGAGGGACACCGGUGGCGAAAGCGGAUCUCUGGUCUGUAACUGACGCUGAGGCUCGAAAGCGUGGGGAGCGAACAGG
This 429-nucleotide ribosomal RNA is filed under the name Bacteroidota bacterium. Its description in RNAcentral is "Bacteroidetes bacterium partial 16S ribosomal RNA". It matches the Rfam family "Bacterial small subunit ribosomal RNA", at positions 355 to 776 of the family's 1533-position model. The record is from RNAcentral. Lineage: Bacteria; Pseudomonadati; Bacteroidota.